UCCAGACUCCUACGGGAGGCAGCAGUGGGGGAUAUUGCACAAUGGGGGGAACCCUGAUGCAGCGACGCCGCGUGGGUGAAGGAGUGCUUCGGCAUGUAAAGCCCUAUCGGCAGGGAAGAAGCAAGACGGUACCUGACUAAGAAGCCCCGGCUAACUACGUGCCAGCAGCCGCGGGAAUACGUAGGGGGCGAGCGUUAUCCGGAUUUAUUGGGUUUAAAGGGUGCGUAGGUGGGCUGUUAAGUCAGCGGUCAAAUGUCGGGGCUCACCCCCGGCCUGCCGUUGAAACUGGCGGCCUCGAGUGGGCGAGAAGUAUGCGGAAUGCGUGGUGUAGCGGUGAAAUGCAUAGAUAUCACGCAGAACUCCGAUUGCGAAGGCAGCAUACCGGCGCCCUACUGACGCUGAGGCACGAAAGCGUGGGUAUCGAACAGGAUUAGAUACCCCUGUAC
RNAcentral lists this ribosomal RNA (446 nucleotides) under uncultured bacterium. Its description in RNAcentral is "bacterial SSU rRNA". It matches the Rfam family "Bacterial small subunit ribosomal RNA", at positions 330 to 793 of the family's 1533-position model. The record is from RNAcentral.